GAGGUGGAAAACAAGUCAAAGAAUUAUAAAGUAAUUCACGUACAGUAAAUAGGACACAGUGCUUCAAACACCCUCUUUAAGCACUUGAGGUCAUUCUCGCAACGUUUGGGCUCAAACUAUCUUCAUUAUCAGGGCAGCACAGAGCUGCAGGCUGUUUACCUCUGUGGCUGCAGACGGCCGGCACACAGUGAAGCACAGCCAGUUUCUAAAUAUGUUACAACUGCAGCAGCAGCGUUGUGCACAGAGGGUUUCAGUUCCUUUGUUCAUGCGUUUGUCUUUACAGGUAGGAAAACUGUGUGACGGGAAACGGCUGAAAGAGCGCCGCUGUGUUUCCGACUGACGAGCAGGAAGUAGCUGCGGUACCUCGAGGAUGACGAUGGAGAUGAUGGCCAUCUCAGGGCUGAGCCAUGGAAAAAGACGCUGUAGCUGACCACACUGACCAAUCAGGUAGCAGUUCACUAUGAUGGCAAUCAGGCCCAUGGCUUCCAUCGCAGUCUGUGAACGGGGAAAAAAAAAAAAAAACAGAUGUUCACACAGUGCAUUUCUUACCUGCCACUGGCCGAUGCUCUCCACACGGACUCCAAAAGGUCUCUGCAGGCCGGUGCAGAGCUUAAAGGCAUCACUGCGGAUCUCUA
Molecule: long non-coding RNA, 635 nt
Organism: Oreochromis aureus
Lineage: Eukaryota; Metazoa; Chordata; Actinopteri; Cichliformes; Cichlidae
Exons: 3
Source: RefSeq, a predicted model, not a curated record